ACGAACCGUACAAACGUUAUUCGGAAUCACUGGGCUUAAAGGGUGCGUAGGCGGCUUGGAAAGUUGGGUGUGAAAUCCCUCGGCUCAACCGAGGAAUUGCGCUCAAUACUGCCAAGCUAGAGGGAGACAGAGGUAAGCGGAACUUAGGGUGGAGCGGUGAAAUGCGUUGAUAUCCUAAGGAACACCAGUGGCGAAGGCGGCUUACUGGGUCUCUUCUGACGCUGAGGCACGAAAGCUGGGGGAGCGAACGGG
RNAcentral lists this ribosomal RNA (252 nucleotides) under uncultured bacterium. RNAcentral's name for it is "partial 16S ribosomal RNA". It matches the Rfam family "Bacterial small subunit ribosomal RNA", at positions 525 to 776 of the family's 1533-position model. The record is from RNAcentral.